GCCAGCAGCCAUAUCACCCUGCAGCUCACAACUGGCUACCCACUGAAGUUAAGCAUGGUUGAGCCUGGUCAAUACCUGGAUGGGAGACCUCCUGGGAAACUAUGGCUGCUGCUGGAA
Lepisosteus oculatus (spotted gar) is the source of this 117-nucleotide ribosomal RNA. The record is from Ensembl. Lineage: Eukaryota; Metazoa; Chordata; Actinopteri; Semionotiformes; Lepisosteidae.